UACGUAGGGUGCGAGCGUUGUCCGAAAUUACUGGGCGUAAAGAGCUCGUAGGUGGUUUGUCGCGUUGUUCGUGAAAACUCACAGCUCAACUGUGGGCGUGCGGGCGAUACGGGCAGACUGGAGUACUGCAGGGGAGACUGGAAUUCCUGGUGUAGCGGUGGAAUGCGCAGAUAUCAGGAGGAACACCGGUGGCGAAGGCGGGUCUCUGGGCCGAUACUGACGCUGAGGAGCGAAAGCGUGGGGGAGCGAACAGG
This 254-nucleotide ribosomal RNA is filed under the name uncultured bacterium. Its description in RNAcentral is "partial 16S ribosomal RNA". It matches the Rfam family "Bacterial small subunit ribosomal RNA", at positions 524 to 776 of the family's 1533-position model. The record is from RNAcentral.